RNAcentral lists this ribosomal RNA (492 nucleotides) under Bromeliohyla melacaena. RNAcentral describes it as "partial 12S ribosomal RNA". It matches the Rfam family "Bacterial small subunit ribosomal RNA", at positions 794 to 1522 of the family's 1533-position model. Lineage: Eukaryota; Metazoa; Chordata; Amphibia; Anura; Hylidae. The record is from RNAcentral.
GCCCAGUCGUAAACUUUUAUUCACAUUCACAUCGCCUGGGAACUACGAGCCAAGCUUAAAACCCAAAGGACUUGACGGUAUUCCACAUCCACCUAGAGGAGCCUGUCCUAUAAUCGAUAAUCCCCGCUAAACCUCACCAUUUUUAGCAUAACAACCUGUAUACCUCCGUCGUCAGCCCACCUCGUGAGUGAUCCUCAGUGCGCUUAAUGUCAUUUCAUCAAUACGUCAGGUCAAGGUGCAGUAAAUAAAAUGGGAAGAGAUGGGCUACACUCUCUAACUUAGAGUAUACGAAAGACUACAUAUGAAACUUAGUCGGAAGGCGGAUUUAGAAGUAAAAAAAGACCAUAAAGCUUUUUUUAACACGGCACUGGAAUGCGUACACACCGCCCGUCACCCUCUUCACAGGCCAUAAAAUUAGUACUUAACAUAAAAUAGCUUUCUAGAAGAGGCAAGUCGUAACAUGGUAAGUGUACCGGAAGGUGCACUUGGAAA